Long non-coding RNA from Triticum dicoccoides, 552 nucleotides. RefSeq lists it as uncharacterized. The record is from RefSeq and is a predicted model, not a curated record. Lineage: Eukaryota; Viridiplantae; Streptophyta; Magnoliopsida; Poales; Poaceae. The transcript is spliced from 3 exons.
CCCUGUUGUGAGAGACUGCGUACACGAGCGGUUCUCUCUCCUCCGUCUCUUUCCACUUUCCGAGAUCUAUCCAUCUCCAAGCCAUGGCCGGCGGCUCCCCGCCGAAUCUCUCCCUGAUCGAUCCAGGUUCAUGCCCAUGCCUAAUUCCGUUCGCCGCUUCGGAAAGCUUCCACCUUUCGCCGUGAUCCGGUGAGCACGGUCUUCGGAAACAGGAUGGGCGUACAUGCGAUCGAUCUGGAUGCUGUUCCCUGAUUGUCACCGAUCUGGGCGCUGUGUUCCCCCAUAUGCCCUGGCUCUCUGGCCGUUGUUUCUCAUCCGAUCUGAAUCUUGGACGACGCCAUCUUUUGCUGAUAGAUGAACGCAAGGGGGAAAGGUUCGAUCUUUAUGCAGCUCAACUGUCUUUUAUGUAGUUUAUGGCUCAGUCGGUCCCAGAUCAGGUAUCCUUCAGCAUUUGUAGGUCGUUUCGCUUGGUCCAGUUUUGUACGUCUCUCAUGGAUCAGCCCAUGUACAGACUCAUGCCAUGAUUUUGUCAGAUUGUUUUUUAUCGAUCUA